This 460-nucleotide ribosomal RNA is filed under the name uncultured bacterium. Its description in RNAcentral is "partial 16S ribosomal RNA". It matches the Rfam family "Bacterial small subunit ribosomal RNA", at positions 338 to 795 of the family's 1533-position model. The record is from RNAcentral.
CCUACGGGAGGCUGCAGUGAGGAAUAUUGGUCAAUGGGCGCGAGCCUGAACCAGCCAAGUAGCGUGAAGGAUGACUGCCCUACGGGUUGUAAACUUCUUUUAUAUAGGAAUAAAGUGAGGCACGUGUGCCUUUUUGUAUGUACCAUAUGAAUAAGCAUCGGCUAACUCCGUGCCAGCAGCCGCGGUAAUACGGAGGAUGCGAGCGUUAUCCGGAUUUAUUGGGUUUAAAGGGUGCGUAGGUGGGUUGUUAAGUCAGCUGUGAAAGUUUGCGGCUCAACCGUAAAAUUGCAGUUGAUACUGGCUGUCUUGAGUACAGUUGAGGUAGGCGGAAUGCGUGGUGUAGCGGUGAAAUGCUUAGAUAUCACGAAGAACUCCGAUUGCGAAGGCAGCUUACUAAACUGCAACUGACAUUGAUGCUCGAAAGUGUGGGUAUCAAACAGGAUUAGAUACCCUAGUAGUC